GGGGAUGUAGCUCAGUUGGUUGAGCACUUGCCUAGCAUGCAUGAAGCACUGGGUUCGAUUCCCAGUAUCCCCA
Cricetulus griseus (Chinese hamster) is the source of this 73-nucleotide non-coding RNA. The record is from Rfam. NCBI's taxonomy places the organism in Eukaryota, Metazoa, Chordata, Mammalia, Rodentia, Cricetidae.